Molecule: long non-coding RNA, 4352 nt
Organism: Schistocerca cancellata (South American locust)
Lineage: Eukaryota; Metazoa; Arthropoda; Insecta; Orthoptera; Acrididae
Exons: 3
Source: RefSeq, a predicted model, not a curated record
AGUUGUGUUGUGAUAAGUUAACACGUGUUUGUGUUUCUCGUCAAGGAAAUGAAACCGCAUAAUAUUGCGCAAUGGGGCCUAGAAACAACAGAGAGGCUCUGCAGCCACAGUGGUCCACAACCACACGACCACUACCGCAGUCCACAUCACCCCUCCGCUGCCCCACACCGAACCCAGGGCUAUUGUGCGGUUUGGCCUCCGGUGGACCCUCCACCCAGGGGACGUCUCACACCAGGCGAGUGUAACCCCUAUGUUUGCGUGGUAGAGUAAUGGUGGUGUACGUGCACGUGGAGAACUUAUUUUACACAGCAAUCGUCGACAUUGUGUAGCUGAGGAGGAAUAAGGGGAACCAGCCCACAUUCACCAUGGCAGAUUGAAAACCACCUAAAAACUACCCACAGACUGGCCAGCUCACCGGACCUCGACACAAGUCUGCAGGGCGGAUUCGUGCCGUGGACCAGGUGCUCCUUCCUGCUGGGAAAGCCGUACGUUAGACCGCACGGCCAACUGAGCGGGCAAGAGAGAGAUAUACUGAUGAGUACAAAAUGUCCUGGACCUGGAAAUAUAGAGUACAACAUUCAUUGGGGAUGACGAUGAUGGAAAAACUUAAAACAUACAUGGAUUCUGAUGGAAGAAUUAAUUAAAAACUAUAAAUAAUUUUUUCAAUAUUUUAAAAUGUCAAGUAACUGACUAGAUUACAAUAUUUUUGGUAAUAAUUUUCAGCUUUUAUUUUUAGAAUAUAGUUUAUUUUUCAACAGUAGUAGAAAUAUUAAUUUUUUUUACUUAUUCCCUUAUGGGAAUUCGUGAAUUAUUUACAGGAAAUCAUCGCAGAUGUCAUUGUAGAAUGUAAGAGACUACCAGAAAAAUAUUUUAGGAGACUAGGCUUAUAUACUUGAAAUUUAAUGAAAAAGGAUUUACCCCUAAUUAAUCCAUAAAAUCACAACAAUGAGCUGUUUGACAUGAAACAAUUAAGAUUUAGCAACAAUAAAACAAAAGUUUUGAAUCAUGAAUAACAUACAUUGACUAGGUAACAUUAAAUGAGACAGCUAAAUUUCCUGUAUUUUCUUUAGGAUCAAAUCUGGUUCUUAAUAUGAGAAUACCAAAAAAACCCAUCUGUAAAUGUGAAGAUAUUCAUUUUUGUAUAAUUUUCAGAAAUGAUAAUUUUGAUAGGUUAAAUAGCAUAUCAUUCGGCUCAGUGUACAUUACUUCUAUUAUAUUAGACCUUUAUAAUAUGAAACAUUUUCUAACAUUAAGAACCAUUUAUUUGUAUUUAACUGUUGGUAUCUCAGAAUAAAACUGCAUGAAUGCAGCACUAUGUACUGAUUAUUUAUAAAAUCACAGAAGUCACGAUUUUGAUUCAGUAAUCAUUCAACAUGGAGAGAAAGUAAACAAAAACAUACCUUCAGAAACAUUUUGGGAAAACAGCAUCCAAUUUUCACAAUUGUAUGUAGAAAAACACUCUAGAUCACACAAAUCACUUUUAUUGGUCAACAGUUGCAGUCCAAAGGCAGACCAUCUUCAGACCAUACCCCAAACCUGAUGUGUGGACAUGGAUCCACAGACCAGCUACUCAAUAGUUGACAGCUUCUGCAAUUCCUGCUCUGUGAAGCUGUCUCCACACAUUAACUUUUGAGUACAGCCUCAAGAUGGUUCAUCUUCGGAUGGACAGCAGUCACCAAUAAAUGUGAUUUGUGCAAUCUAGACUGUUUUUGUAAGGACAAUCAACAAAAACUGCUUCAAAAAUCAUUGAUCCUAGUAGUGGUGAAAUUCAUUCCAUUACUAUUUUUUGUGUUGACAAGGAGCACUCAAAUGUUUCAGGAUUUGGGUUUGAGUGACAUAAAGAGUGAUAGUGAAAAAAAAAUUGAAGGAAGUAUGAAAGAAUGUCUACAACUGAAACAAAUUGAAGAAUAAAAUUUUUCUCAGUAACAGAAUAUAUUCCUUCCCAUGGAAAAGUGUGUCCUGGAAAGAAACCAUCUACUGGAAGUGAUACACUUGAUUCCUGAGGGGGCUAAAAAAAAAAAAAAAAAAAACUUAGUUUGCAUUGAUAUAUGCAUUGUCCUAAAUAAUCAUUCUCAGUAAGCAGACUACAGUUGUACAGUACUAUUUGCUGAUGGCCUGAGGAUUGAGGAUGAGAGAAAUAAGUUUCUUGUGCCAUCGCAUAUCUUCUUUCCAUGUAACACAGAUCUUGCUAGAAAAGAAUAACAAUAUGUGGACAAUGGACUGAAUUCAUGAAGUUGCACAGAGAAAAGUAUGUGUACAAAGUUUUUUAACUGAGGACAAAGAAUUUUUAAGAUUUUGCUAGUUUUGGUUGGUUGGGUGGUUGAUUUGGAGGGGGAGGGGGGGGGGCAUCAGUUCCAUCAGAUUAGGGACGGAAGUCAGCCUUGCCUUUUCAAAGGAACCAUCUCAUCUCGGCACUUGCCUGAAGCAAUUUUUUACUUGUUUUAUUAAAAUUUUGAUAAAUUUAAGGCCAGUAGAUAAGUAUGAGGUAUUUUAGCUGAAUGAUGAAGUUAACAUUUUACUUCUAUAAAUGUAGAGUGCAAAAUGAUAUAGUUAUAGAAGAAAAAUUAGUCUGUGAAAAGUGGAAAAAUACCCAGUACUGUCUCCAGCAAAAUGCCCCUGAGGCAGUCAAUUCACUAGCCUAAAUACGGAGACAUUGAGUACCUAACGCAGUUGCCGCCUCCCAUGUAUCAUAGCCUUCAGAAAAAUCAAGAUCCACUCUGACAAACACAUUAUUCGAAAGAGUGGAAACACCUUUAUCAACUACACAGAACCUAUUUCAGCAGGAAAUUUUUUCUGAAACAGCAAUGAUGCUUUGGUAAUAUGCUGAUAAAUAAAAUCUGCAAUCUUACAGCUAAAUGCUACACCAGCCAAUGUUCUGUCUACAAAUAAACACCCUCAUUGGUGAGGUAUUUUCAACUCCUAACAAGUUUCAGGAUCUCAUUCAAAAAUCAUUUCUGCUACCCUAUUAUGAGCAACAGCAUGAAAAUAUUAACCAGAGACUGGACUUAAGUAUCAAUACAGACUAUUCUGAGAAACUAUAACAGUUUAAAAAGCUUUUGCCAGGGUCCAAAUAAGAUGACACUAUUGGUUGUGCACCUAUGAAUGUUAUAAAAACAAAGAGCCAACUAUUCCAACUACCAAUAGAGGUGUCGGUUUACCUGGUAGAAUUUUUAGCCAUCGAAGCAUAUUAAGAUACAGUAUCAUGAUCCAAGCUGAACAUAUAAUAAUAAUGGACUCUCUCUCUCUGCAGUGCAAACACAAUCAUCAAUUGAUAGAAACAAAGGAAGAUGCUACGUGCCAUACCAAAAAAGUUCCUACCAUAUCAGAACUAUGGUUAAAUAGAUUGGUAGUCUCAUUUCUAUAGCCCAAAGCCCAUGCCAGAAUUGUGGGGAAUGAGAAGGCAAAGAACUGUGGUGUAACACGUUGUUACACCUCUUCCUCAUGAUUAGGUGAAAGGUGCUCAUGAAAAACUUUGUGUAAGUAGUUGGCAUAUAGAGAACUUUCCACUGUGCAUGUGCUGGUUUGAAGAAUGUACAGAGUUGGCGUGAGACACAUGAGUAUGGAAUGUCACCAAGGUGUGAUGGCACUUGGGCAUUUCCAUCUGUUGUGAAGGUGUCACUUAUGCUUUGGCAUCAUGAAAGAAAUAGAACAAGAGGCACUGUGUACAAUGAUAACACCCAGAAACAGUUGAAAGAAGCUGAAGAAAAAUGUCAAAUGUCAUUCUCUUUAUUCUGCUCUGCGAUUUUGUUUGGAGAUGUUGUUCUGACUAAUGGGAGAUAUGUUCAUCCAGUGUUGCAAUUUUUGCAUAAGAGCAGCAAAAUACAGAAGAGUUCUUUAAAAAGCAGUUAUUUCAUUUUGUAGCUUGAAUACUACAAAGCUCUCAUCCUGCCCCCAACCCUCUGCAGAUACAAUUGAAGUCAUAUGGUGAGAGUUGGUGGCAUUGCAUAGCAGGUCCACUGCAUCAAGAGAAUUCUGGCUGACCAUACAAGCAAAUAGUUGAGUUAAAAUGUAUCAUUGAUAGCAUGAAGGUGACAGAUUAUUUGGAAGGUAACACUUCUUCUGGGCUCAGUACAGCUAUAGAACAGCAUCAUUACAAGCCAGAACACAGCAACAAAUGGAAUACAGGAGAGAUACAUUCCAGUUGGGAAUCUAAUUGCCACAAUCAGGAACAUGCCCAGAAGCAAAUGGAACAAGUACUGGCAGAAUGAAGAUCUACAGAAGGGCAAAGGGGUACAGACAAACUCACCAACAUAUGUUAAAUGUACUACGGUACACUGAAAAGGGGGAUACAAAAUGUAAAUUCACUAGCAAAAAGAAACAAUAGGAGAUCUGUAAUGACCAUUCAACCACAA